RNAcentral lists this transfer RNA (71 nucleotides) under Cordyceps cicadae. RNAcentral describes it as "tRNA-Arg". It matches the Rfam family "tRNA". From Rfam's summary of the family: Transfer RNA (tRNA) molecules are approximately 80 nucleotides in length. Their secondary structure includes four short double-helical elements and three loops (D, anti-codon, and T loops). Lineage: Eukaryota; Fungi; Ascomycota; Sordariomycetes; Hypocreales; Cordycipitaceae. The record is from RNAcentral. RNAcentral also lists the same sequence under 2 other names.
AAGAUAUUAGUUUAAUGGUAGAACAAGAUAUUGCGGAUGUCUAAAUAAUAGUUCGAUUCUAUUAUAUCUUU